This 11094-nucleotide long non-coding RNA is filed under the name Marmota monax (woodchuck). The record is from RNAcentral. Lineage: Eukaryota; Metazoa; Chordata; Mammalia; Rodentia; Sciuridae.
GUUAGCCAGGAGGCCAGAGUCCUUGCCCAGUAAGCACAGAGGCAGCCAAGGCCCAGGACACCGCCAGAGUUACCGGCGGCUGUGCCCCUGGGCCAUUGGGCUGUAGCUCUGCUGUGUGCGUGGCUCGCCAGGCUGAGCGGGGCAUCUUGAGAAAACGUGUCAGACCUGCUGGGCAUCCAGAGACCCCUGCAGCCCCCCAUCCUCAGGCUGCCCGGGCACACCGUGACUGUAACAGGACUCCCCUGGCAGGACUGUCAUCUGAAAAGCACAGGUUCCUAAAGCCGUGAUUCACACGUCGUUUGCUAUGGGCGGGGUUUUCACUCCCAGGAGGGAAGAAUUUAAGCACCCAGGCCCUUGUCCUCCUGGCGUCUCCUCAGUAACCACCCUCACCCUCUGCCCCCACAGCCCCUGCCUCCUCAGGAGAGAGGUCCAAGCCAUUACCGAGGUAGCCACCGGUCGUGGGUGCCAGGGGGAAGCUCAAGAUGGGCUGAUGCCCAGCGAGGGAGCCCCUUCCCUCCUCUCCAUAGGACUGGCUUGAUGGCCUCCUUCCUCAGCAGGACGUGCUGGAGGGGCCGGGGCGCUCCGUCCUGGCUCUGCAGUGCGUGGGAGCAGCAGCCCCCUCUUGACCUUGACGGGGUAUGGGGCCGCCCUCCCCUGUGGCUGUUGCCAAAGAUCAACCCAGGAAGCCUCAAGCUGCCCGGCACAGGGUCUGGUGACCAUGAGCCACCUUGGCAGGGACGCUGUCCCUGGCAGCUGUGCACGGCUAGUGCAGCACCAGCCUUGGGACAGUGGAGACCCGCCUUCCAGGAGCAGAGGGGACAUGGCCUCACUCCACUCCAUCCCACCCCCAGGAGCUCGGAAGCCUUGUUCUCCUAGCCCCCAGAGGCACACGGUAAGAUCCCAUCCCCAGGUGUCACGAAGGGGCCUUGUGAAUCACCCAGGGGUAACGGUGCCCCAUCCACUAACCUCCUACCUGUGCCUGCCCGUCUCCCCACCGCACCCUGAGCAGACAAGUGCUAUCUAUGGAAAGACCAGAGGGGACUGGAGGGCGGGCACUGGGACCAGCUCACAGUGACCAGUGGCCCUUCCUUCCUCCCACACCCUUCCUGCCAGGCCAUCCCUGGCCCCUUCCUGCCCCUCCCCGACGAAGCCCCACUCUUGCUGAUCUGAGCUGUUCAUCGCCUGUGACAAUUCAGCUCUGUGACAAUUCAGCUCUGCCCCAACGUGCCCAUUUCACCCACCUUUUCCCACUUUCAGAAUCACAGAGAAAAAUGUCCAGGAAACCAAAAGACCCGCCUCUCUUGGAGACAGUGGGGUUUCCACACAUGUUUGAUAUUAACCAUGUCCUCAUUGGCAGGAAGGGAGCUGGGCUCCCUAAGGGGAGUGCAGAACUUGGUGCAUGAGAAAGGGACUCAUCACCUGGGUUCUAGGCUUCCCCACGGUCCACAGGUUCUGACUCAGCCAGUGUCAGGGAUCGUGGGAAUCAGAGUGUCCCUCCAGACACCAGCCAGAGGACACUUCCUGAACCCUGAGUAGGUAUGUGUGGCCCCCUGGUGGGAUCCUCCACCAUCUUCCCCCUGGUUCUCAUUGCUCACGCAAGUGGAUGCUGCGGUUUCCGAAGUCAGGAGUCAGAGGUGGGAGAGUGAGAAAGAGGAAGAAGGGGGCCCAAGGACCUCUGUUGGAGGCACCGUGUCGCAAGAGCCCACUCCUGACCGCAGUGGGGUGGGAGCUUCGACUUGAUGGCAGCCAGUGUUAGCUGGCUUCAAGGGCCAGCGAGGACUCUCUGCAGCAGCCCACCUGCUCUGAGACCUUCUCUCUGCAGGGCGUUCAGACCUGCCAGCAGGUGGCGGCUCCCCCAAACCUGGCCACUCCUGCUCCAUUGUCCUCCCAGGUGCUGUCUCCAUCACCCUCACCCCUUCCCACAGGGACUGUGCCCCAGCUGGAGGGAGGAGCUUCCCUGCUACGGGAACUUACUCAGCAGCGCCCCCACAGGCCUGGCAGCCACACCCCCUUCUCUCAUGCUGACCAGCGUCCCUCUGGCCUGGCUUUCACCAAGGGCUCCGGGUUCGGACUGGCACAGGAUUGCUGUUUCUCCUUGAAGCCCGCACCAUCCUUUACAAUCAGUGGUGUGAUGGUUUGGAUCUGAGAUGUUCCCCGAGGUCUCGUGUUUGAAGACUUGGUCCCCAGUGCAGAGAUGUCCAGAGGUGGGACUCUCAGGAAAUGACUGGGCUGAGGGUUCUGAUCUCAUCGGUGGAUUCAUCCAUUUGAAAAAUGGAUAAUGUGAAUGGAUUACUGGGAGGAGAUGGAAGCCGUAAGUGGGAGGCCUGGCUGGAGGCGCAGACCUGGGGCGUGCCCUUGGGAACGGUUGCCCUGGUCCCCUCCUCUCCCUCUCUGGCUUUCCACCUGUCUUGAGUGACAGCUUUCCCCCACCACCCCCUUCCACCUUGACGUUCUGCCUCAUCUUGGGCCCAGAGCCAUGGACACUGCUGACCAUGGACUGAACCUCUGGACCCUGUCCUGCUCUGCUGUUCUCCUCAGGUACUUGUCUGCGGUGAUGAGAAGCGAACGCUCAUGGUUUCCUCACCUGGCAAAAUCAGGAUGUACUCAGGAGGAACACAGCAGGCACUUGUGGGACCUGUGUCCAUCAGAGCCAAAUGCGUUCCUGCUGGCCGCUCCCCAGCUCCAGGGGGUUACCUCUGCCCACACAGGGCUGGCGUUUGUUCUGCUGAGUGUCACCCUCCCAGGAGAGGAGCAGACUUUAGUCUGGCUUCAUUUGCGGGCCUCUUUCCUGGAGCUCUGGAGAGGUGGCUGAGGGGCCCUGAGGUCUCAAGGGCAGCCUGGCUGAAGCCUGGCACCUCUGAGACCCCGACGUGAAGUCCCAGAGCCUGGGGCCGGAAAGUUUACUCUCCUCCCCUUGAGGCCAGACUGUGUUACCUCCCUGAAAUGGGCAAAAUAGUGGCCUUUUGAAGAUUGCAGGUCCUUGUCCCUGGGACUGUGAAUUUCACCAAAUGAGGUAACACUCUAACGAUGUUGUUGGGGGUUUGGAGAUGAGGAGAUGGUCCUGGUCCCCUAGGUGGCCCCAAGGAAAUGACAGCAUCCUGUCAUUGGGGGUUUGGGGAUAAGGAGAUGGUCCUGGUCCCCUAGGUGGCCCCAAGGAAAUGACAGCAUCCUGUCAUUGGGGGUUUGGAGAUGGGGAGAUGGUCCUGGUCCCCUAGGUGACUCCAGGGCAAUCACAGGGUCCUGUCAUUGGGGGUUUGGAGAUGAGGAGAUGGUCCUGGUCCCCUAGGUGGCUCCAAGGCCAUCACAGGGUCCUGUCAUUGGGGGUUGGGAGAUGAGGAGAUGGUCCUGGUCCCCUAGGUGGCUCUAAGUCAAUCACAGGGUCCUGUCAUUGGGGGUUUGGGGAUAAGGAGAUGGUCCUGGUCCCCUAGGUGGCCACAAGGAAAUGACAGCAUCCUGUCAUUGGGGGUUUGGGGAUAAGGAGAUGGUCCUGGUCCCCCCAGGUGGCCCCAAGGCAAUCACAGGGUCCUGUCAUUGGGGGUUUGGAGAUGAGGAGAUGGUCCUGGUCCCCUAGGUGGCUCCAAGGCCAUCACAGGGUCCUGUCAUUGGGGGUUUGGGGAUGAGAAGAUGGUCCUGGUCCCCCUAGGUGGCUCCAAGGCCAUCAUGGGGUCCUGCAGAGGGAGGCAGGGAGAGCCACACAGAGGACGCCCUGUGUCCACAGAGGUGAUGGGGAAGGGCUGUGGCCAAAGCCCAGGAACAGGGGUGACCCCAGAGUUGGUGGGGGUCAUGAUUUCAGCUGGCACCUCGGCUUCUCUCCUUCAUACCUAUUAGAAUACACUUCGGUUGCUUUAAGUUGCUGACUUUGUGGUCAUUUUUCAAUAGAAACUAACACCCCUGCCCCCAAUGCUUACCAAUGUCCCGGUUGCCCUUGGAGAUGCCCAUGACAUUACGCGGGGCUGAAGAAGUACUGCAUGUCCAGGGGCUUCCCCUGCAGGUGGUGUGAGCGAGUGGCCUGUGCACAGGUAGCAACCCUCUGUGGCAAUGGCCUUGAUACUGAAACAGCCCCAGGUACAGCUGCUCCAGGUCAGGAACAAGAGAAGGCAGGGAGCCGCCUCCGGUGAACUGGACAGGUCAGAAGGCAGGAGGCCACCCCAGGUGAGCUGGACAGGGGAGAAGGCAGGUUGUCACAUCAGGUGAGCUGGACGGGGAGAAGGCAGGAGGCCACCCCAGGUGAGCUGGACAGGGGAGAAGGCAGGUUGUCACAUCAGGUGAGCUGGACAGGGGAGAAGGCAGGUGGCCACAUCAGGUGAGCUGGACAGGGGAGAAGGCAGGUGGCCACAUCAGGUGAACUGGACAUGGAGAAGGCAGGUGGCCACUUCACGUGAGCUGGACAGGGGAGAUGGCAGGUGGCCGCCCCAGGUGAACUGGACAGGGGAGAAGGCAGGUUGUCACAUCAGGUGAGCUGGACAGGGGAGAAGGCAGGCGGCCACCCCAGGUGAGCUGGACAGGGGAGAUGGCAGGUGGCCGCCCCAGGUGAGCUGGACAGGGGAGAAGGCAGGUUGUCACAUCAGGUGAGCUGGACAGGGGAGAAGGCAGGAGGCCACCCCAGGUGAGCUGGACAGGGGAGAAGGCAGGUGGCCACAUCAGGUGAACUGGACAUGGAGAAGGCAGGUGGCCACUUCACGUGAGCUGGACAGGGGAGAAGGCAGGUGGCCGCCCCAGGUGAACUGGACAGGGGAGAAGGCAGGUGGCCACAUCAGGUGAUCUGGACAGGGGAGAAGGCAGGUGGCCACACCAGGUGAACUGGACAGGGGAGAAGGCAAGUGGCCACAUCAGGUGAAUUAGGCAGGGGAGAAGGCAGGCGGCCGGCCGCCCCAGGUGAACUGGACAGGGGAGAAGGCAGGUGGCCGCCCCAGGUGAACUGGACAUGGAGACGGCAGCUGGCCACAUCAGGUGAACUGGACAGGGCAGAAGGCAGGUGGCCGCCCCAGGUGAUCUGGACAGGGGAGAAGGCAGGGGCCCACACAGGGUGGGCUGAGCUGCACUGCCCUUGGCCAGCACAGAAGGGCAGCAGGCGUCUGGCGGCCAGCAGCCCCUGGAGCAGGAAGCUGGUCUGAUGAAUGGCCCAGGUCUCCACCAGCAAUAGGUCAGUGCCUCAGAGCCCUGGGUGCUGGCACUCUCAAGGAGGGAGCAGGGAAGGUGGCUGGCCCCAGGGCCCUAGGUCAGACCCAGUCACAGGAAGGAGGGAGGGUGGGCGUGGGUCUGUGUGUCCCCUGGAAGUCCUCAGGUAGGUGUCUGGCCGAGGCCUCUGUAGGUUGAAGCGGGAUUCCUGAGUCUCCGGGAGGCUCUGGGUUCGGCCUGUAGGGCCUUCAGUGGGGUCCUCCUGAGGCAAGAGGUGGCCUGUGCCCCAGAGCCAGGCCGUACAGACCUCGAUGGGCUCUGUGCCGAGGUGAGAUCAGUCUGCGGGCAGGGUGACUGGGAGAGCCCUACACCUGUGGCUCUGGUCUCCCGACACCAGCCCUGGGGGCUCUCCAAGGGGCCUAGUGGCCCGAGCUCAUUCAGGCUCUUGCUGUAGCUCUUCCCUGUGUCCAGGAGUGCCCAUGCCUCUGGCCUUGUUGUGUGGUUGUGUGUCUGCCUGGGUCUCUGCCCAGGGCUCUCUUGGCACCACCAGGACCUCACACUCCCAAUGAGAGCCAGCGGCCACUCCCUGCCUCCUGCUGAGCUUCACUUGCCAAGCCGCCCUGCCCUCUGCAAGUCCUGUGUAACCAUUAGGGCCACCACUCCCACCACUGAGUGGUCACAUGAACUUUUUCAUUCCAGCCGUCUGAUUUUGUCCACUACUGUGCUGCUGUGCUUGCCAGUGCUGAGGUGCAGGGAAGGUGGGGUCAAGACCAAUGCCCUGGCAGAGCCGAGUCUUGUGAAGAACAAGCCCAGGUCAGCAAAGGGGCAGUGUGCGUUUCCUCCUGCCUGGAGUUGCCAGGGGUGUGCCCAGAGGAGGGGUGUGCUAGUUUCCUGACUUGGGCAGUUUCCUGGACAGGGACGUCCACCCACUGAUACAUGCAAGGUCACGAGGUUUUGGCGGGGUGGGUGGGGAACGGUAUUCAGCAAAAGGAACACUUGGAAGUGGGCUAUGCAAUGGCUGAUGGAGGACAGGACAGGUCACACUGGAGGGUGCAGCGAUGUCAGAAGGUCAAGCGAGGGUCUAUCACCAAGGAGUCUGGAUUCACGGUGGGACCAGGCAUCAGAGCAGUUGCAGGGUCUCUCAUUCUAAUGAACCUGCGAAUCCCGUGGGUGUCUCCUGCCCCGCUGAGCACGGCCACCCCCUGCCCCACUUUCGGCCCUGGUAGGAGCUGGCGUCUGCUGAGGGUGGUGUGGUCCUCCCACUCAGCCUCUGCCCACCCGGCUCUCAGAGGAUCCUGGCGAAGCAAGUAGCUCAUGGUGGGGCUGGACGUCUUCUGAGGGCUCCAGCCCACUCUCCAUGAAGACACAAACCAAGGUCCUGGGGUCCACUGCACCACGAGGCUCCUCACCCUAGGCCUCCUGGUGAGGCCUCUGCCUCUCCGCUGAGCAGAAGCCGCUCAGGCUCAGGCAGUGUGUGCUGGCUGCUUCUCCCAGGGGAGCACAGGGUUGAAGAAAGCCCCUUUCUUGGGGAAUGUCACGCUGACACGAAGCACGUGACGCUGUGAGGGAAGCGUCCGCAUGGCGUGGUUCAGGCCUCAGGACAGGCAGCUGCCGGGGAAGCCUCUCAGAAAUGUUUUCACCUGGGGAGGGACAGGGUCUUGGUGAGUGCCGGCAGGAAGUUCAGUUGCUGGACCAUGAGGUCAGUGUAUUUGCUCAUUUUGCGCAGUGGGACGUCCUCCUUCCCCGUGGGAUGAAGGUUGGUAGGCCUGACUUAGCAGAGAGCUCACAGACGGCACGUGCGGGUGGAGCCGCCUUCAGCAAUGCCGGGCGGUGCUGGCUGCGCUCUCUGCUGCCUGGCCACCAUGACGCUGCAGACGGGAGCUAAGGGUCAAGCCCUGCGGCCUUCUCACCGAUGCGCUUAUUAGUUGUUUGCUGAGAAUUUUCAGAGACAUUUGAUACAGGUUGCCCUUGGAACUGGCUUCUGCCUUGUCAGCGGGGCCAGUGGUAACACAGGCUUGAUAUUCAUUUUUGCUCACUUUUACUAACUUAGAGAAAGAAUGUUCUGUGUGCAUCUUUCUAUCCGGUCAUUUGGAAAAAUAUACAGUAAUGUCCAGUUUUCUCUCCCACUUCUUCAAAGACCCACUUGCUGCUGGUCAUGGGCUUGCUCAGGUUGUGCUUGGCAGUCCGGCCAUCGGGCAGGCAGCCUGGAUGGGCUCUUGUUGGCCCCACCUCCAGGGCCAGGCUGUGGGACAGGAGGCGCUUGGUUGUAGGUCUUUCAGCAGAUUCACAGAACUUUCUUCCUCUUCCGCGAAGGGACCCUGAUCUCCUUUCAUCUGCGUCUGCCAUUCUCAAUGCCACCUCCCCAAGGUAUGACAGUGCGCGACGUGAACACGGCUGAUCAGACCCUUCCUGGGACUGGGAAGUGGGAACAGGAGAGCUGCUGUGGCGGAGCCUGUGGUGAUGACCGGAGGUGAGUGCAUCCACAGGGAGGAAGCCUGCAAGUGACCUGGGUCCUUAGACCCCAACUGCUUUGCCGGGAGUUGGUGUAUCCCCUCUGGCUACAGAGGUCAGUAUUUCUGCCACUCUUGGGUGCUUGGUCUGGUGCCUGCCGCUCACCGGCCUUCAGCGAACUCAUUUUGGAGAAUGAAGCCUGAGGCUCGGCAGAGCCCGGAGUCGCGUAGCUAGGAGCAGUGCACGGGGACUCACAUGGCUCCUCUGACCAGAAUGUGCUCCUCCCACCAGGAAUGUCUGGUCCUCAGGGCUUUUCGUGAGAGGAAGAGGCAGGGCCAGCAAGUUGUAGAGACAGCAGGAAUGAACACAGGAGCCCAGAGGGACCAACCCACGGGAUUCUGCUCUCCAACCCUUCAAGACGUUCUCUAGCAGCCUCUGACUUUGAAGAAGGGAGAGGAGAGCUCACACCUCCUUGGUUGUACUCUCACUGGGCACUUUCUGUGGGAGAAGGUUUGAAGAGGUGACCAACCCUAAGCAGAGGGCCUUCUGACCCAUCCUUCCCAUCCCUGGAGAAACCCUUCUGUGGAGACCCUGGGACUGUGGCCCUGCCCUCUUGGUGGGAGGUGCAGCUUGGGCACUGUGAGCCACAAGCCAGAGGGGACGGGCAGCUGCGGAGCAGAGGCAGCCCCCGGCCUCCCUCCUGUCUUCACGGGCCUUGGCCCUUGUCUUAGCUGUACCCUGGGGAAGCAGAGCCACUCUCAGGGCACGUGUGCAUGGACUGGGAGAGCAGCUGGGUUCCAGCCCAGGGCCAUGAGGGGCCCAGCCCAGGGCCAUGAGGGGACCCAGGGGCCUUUGGCCUGCUCUGGCCUCAGUACAGCACAGGUCUGGCCCAGGCGUCCCCUGGGUCCUACUACAGGAAACACGGGCUCUUCUGCCUUGCUGUAUUGUCACCAGCAAUCAUUUUUUUAAAGCUCUUGAUGUGAAAUUAGUCUGAGGUUCACAAGAAUGUCACAGAAAUGAGACUGCAUGGUGUAGAGUGCUCCUUGUCCUCUGGUUUCUGCAAGGACACCCUCUGGCCUCACUGCUGAAGGUGCCCCUGGCACUGGUGCCGAGCAAGCCAGGGUGACACCGGGAGACAGACUCAGGGCCACUGAGCAGGGGCUUACUCUCUUGCGUGGGAGACUUCCCUCGGCUUUCCUGAAGUCAGAGUUCCUCUGAGUGGACGGUGUGUCCCUCGGAGGGUGCCGUCCCAGUGGCCUGACACCAGCUGCAGGUGGUGUUGAGUCUGCAGCACAAGGCAAGGCCCUGUGGUCCUUUCCCCAGGCCACCUGAUUCUGGCAGGGAGAGCAUCUCAGCCGGGGGCUCUGUCUUCAUGCCACUCCUGCAGUGUCCCCUCUGGCCCAGGUGGACGUGCUGGCCUGGCCUGGGCCUCGGUGGCUUCUCAGGCUGCUUCCAUCUCACCCUCGUCACGUCACGGUCACUAGGACAAGGGCUCCGCUUUCCCUUUAUGGUAAAGAUAGAACUUUAUUAUUUAUUUUCAAAUGAAACUUUCAAAUAGAAGAACGCUACCGAGUGCUGAGGAGCCGAUAGCAGAGGCCUUGGGCCACACCCGUGGAGGAGGUGCUGCCAGGAGCUGGGGUUGGGGUUCUCGGUCCAGUGCAGCAACGUGGGGCUCAUUAUUCUGGGUGGAGCUAGAUGCUGUGUCUAGGAGGGGCAGUGAGGCAGCAGGGUGGCGCUGUGUGUGGAGGUCAGGGACUUCUACCACUGUGGGAAUGCCGCCUGCCGAAGCUCCUCAGGGCUCAGCUCCUGCCCCACAGGUCAAGGGCUCUCUGCUCCCUGGAGCAGCCCAAGGAAGUGACUUGAGGAUGUGAGGUAUGAGACCGAGGUCCUGACCUUGCCCACCCAGGACCGCUCUGAAGGGCACCCCAGCCUGGCCUUCCCCUUGGGGUGGGCUGAGGCCACCCUGGGACUGCCUCUUGGCUCAUGCCUCCAGUGCCCGUGGCCUGGCCUCCCAGCCCGAGGCGGCCCACGCGGUGCCCACACUAACCUCCAGCUCAGAGCCUGCUCCCUGCCCGGCUGGGGCUUCACAUGCAGGUGCUGCAGAAGGUGGUGGUUGUGGUGGUCUCUUGGAGCUUCCCGCCAGCCCUGCAGCAGAGAGGUCUCUGCAGCUGCAAGGAGAAGCAGGAGGAGGAGCAGGUGCUGGUCCACACCAAGUGGGAGGUGGACACCUGGUCAAGGCUGCACUUGGUGGUUGAGAGAUGGGCAGGACAGGAGAAGGAGGGCAGGGGAAUUGGGUGACCCUUCCUGAAAGGAUGAUGGGGCCCAGCGGCUACUCAACUGAAAGUUGAGGCUGAGCGGGAGGCCUGGCCUCCAGGGAGGACAGAGAGCCGAGGGCUGGUGGGCAGUGCUGGGGGAGGUGCUGGCUCGGCUGCAGACCCAGGGCCGCUCUUCUGAUGACCUCAGCCCCUGAUCCUCCAGAACUCUCUGAGCCUGAGGAUGAUGCUUCCCCAGGGAGGACCGGGCGGUGACACAGAGUGGCAGCUGCCCCAGGACACUUCCUGGUCACAAGAUACCUGGCUGGGGGCAUGCAGCCCUGAGACACAAGGAAAGGGACCCUGUCCAAAGAGCUGCAGGCCAGGGGCAGGAGUGGAAGCAAAUGCAGGCCAGGGCCCUGGAUUGUGGAGCCAUUGGGUGGACAGAGGGAGGUGAGGGGCAGCAGAGUGUGUGUGGGGUGAAGGUGGCUUGGGAGAGGGACAAGGCCAGGGCCCUGGGUGGGACUGCAUGGUGUAGAGUGCUCUCGGGACACCUUCUAGGACCAAGGAUGACGCGGGGGCCCCUAAGUGUGCCGGGAAGGCAGCAUUCACAGAGUAGGUGCUGGAGGAAGGCCCAAGGCCCUGAGGUGGGGCCUGCCUCGGAGGACGUUCUACCUGGGGUGGAAAGCUCAGGACCAUGGGAGGCCUGGGACACACAGCCGCUGCCCAACUGCAAGGAGUCCCCAGCUGGGGGACACCCAGGAGGACAGCCUUGGCAGCCCAGGUGGAGACGGAUCCUCCAACCGGCCAGCACAGCUGCAUGCCUUCCUUCUGAGGCCUGGAGUCUCUGGCCCCUUGGCCUCAGUGACGUGUCUUUUCUACAGUGCAGAAGUGACCCUCCAGACCGUCGGAGCCUCGAUCCAAAGGAGCUUGAUGCUUUAGCCUGGGCCUCCUGAAGCCCUGCCUGUGGCAGCCCUGAGACUCACGAGAGCACCUUCUGCCCACUGAAGCAGCCCCCUGGGAGGGCUGCACUCCACACUGUGGGGUGGGGGGUUGCCAAGACCCUUGUACCUCUGCUGCCCUGACCCUAUGGCUCUGUUGUCACCAUGUGCAGCAGAACUGCCCACCUGAGCCCGACUUCAAUUCCUGACUCACAAAUUCAUGACAUAUAACAAAUGAAGUUUAUUUAUUGUCAACCUCUAAGGUUUGGAGUAACUUGUUACGCAGAAAUAAAUAUCUGGAACAAUUAAGUCAACCCAAGUGACUUUGCCUG